This 497-nucleotide ribosomal RNA is filed under the name uncultured bacterium. RNAcentral describes it as "partial 16S ribosomal RNA". It matches the Rfam family "Bacterial small subunit ribosomal RNA", at positions 28 to 507 of the family's 1533-position model. The record is from RNAcentral.
GAUGAACGCUGGCGGCGUGCCUAAUACAUGCAAGUCGAGCGAACGGACGAGAAGCUUGCUUCUCUGAUGUUAGCGGCGGACGGGUGAGUAACACGUGGAUAACCUACCUAUAAGACUGGGAUAACUUCGGGAAACCGGAGCUAAUACCGGAUAAUAUUUUGAACCGCAUGGUUCAAAAGUGAAAGACGGUCUUGCUGUCACUUAUAGAUGGAUCCGCGCUGCAUUAGCUAGUUGGUAAGGUAACGGCUUACCAAGGCAACGAUGCAUAGCCGACCUGAGAGGGUGAUCGGCCAAACUGGAACUGAGACAAGGUCCAGACUCCUACGGGAGGCAGCAGUAGGGAAUCUUCCGAAAUGGGCGAAAGCCUGAAGGAGCAAAGCCGCGUGAGGGAUGAAGGUCUUCGGAUCGUAAAACUCUGUUAUUAGGGAAGAACAUAUGUGUAAGUAACUGUGCACAUCUUGAAGGUACCUAAUCAGAAAGCCACGGCUAACUACGUG